CGGCGUGGUUAAGACAUGCAAGUCGUACGGUGUAGCAAUACACAGUGGCGAACGGGUGAGUAAUGAAUCGCUAAUGUACCCCGGACUCUGGGAUAGCUGCCCGAAAGGGCAGGUAAUACCAGAUGACAUAUCCCUUCCGCAUGGUUGGGAUCUCAAAGGUCCGCCGGUCUGGGAGCAGGCGAUUUUGUAUCAGCUAGUUGGUGAGGUAACGGCUCACCAAGGCGAUGACGCAUAGCCGGAGGGAGAGGUUGGCCGGCCACAUUGGGACUGAGACACUGCCCAGACUCCUACGGGGGGCUGCAGUAACGAAUCUUAGGGCAAUGCACGAAAGUGUGACGGAGCGACGCCGCGUUAGGGCGAAGCCCUUCGGGGUGUAAACCACGUCAGGGGAA
This 392-nucleotide ribosomal RNA is filed under the name uncultured bacterium. Its description in RNAcentral is "bacterial SSU rRNA". It matches the Rfam family "Bacterial small subunit ribosomal RNA", at positions 40 to 446 of the family's 1533-position model. The record is from RNAcentral.